GGUUGUGGCUUAGUGGUAGAGCGCCUGCCUAGCGUGUGUGAGGAACUGAGUUCGAUUCUCAGCACCA
This 67-nucleotide transfer RNA is filed under the name Marmota monax (woodchuck). Its description in RNAcentral is "tRNA.Ala". It matches the Rfam family "tRNA". Rfam says of the family: Transfer RNA (tRNA) molecules are approximately 80 nucleotides in length. Their secondary structure includes four short double-helical elements and three loops (D, anti-codon, and T loops). Further hydrogen bonds mediate the characteristic L-shaped molecular structure. tRNAs have two regions of fundamental functional importance: the anti-codon, which is responsible for specific mRNA codon recognition, and the 3' end, to which the tRNAs corresponding amino acid is attached (by aminoacyl-tRNA synthetases). tRNAs cope with the degeneracy of the genetic code in two manners: having more than one tRNA (with a specific anti-codon) for a particular amino acid; and 'wobble' base-pairing, i.e. permitting non-standard base-pairing at the 3rd anti-codon position. The record is from RNAcentral. Lineage: Eukaryota; Metazoa; Chordata; Mammalia; Rodentia; Sciuridae.